AUUGAACAAGGUUUUAUUUGGUUAAAAGCAAUUUAAAAGUUCAGUGUUCCUUCCGUGUCUCCCGACCAGAACGAAGCCAGACCUCGGACGCCGGGGAGGCGUGGAGUCGUCGGCAGUUCGUGCCUGUACGGGGCCGGCAAGAGCCAGGAUAGUCUGUCACCCGUCCCGGAAUGAGGGGGGGAUAUCCGGGUAAGUAGAGCUCGUGGAUGUUUCGGUCGAGACCGGGAAAAGGAAUAAUUCUCGUGUCCACCUCCUUUUACAGGGACAUCACAUGCAGCGUCCAGCCCAGAGGAUCCUGCAAUCUCUUUUCAUAGGGACAUCACAUGCGGCGUUCAGCCCAGAGGAUCCUGCGAUCUGCACCGCAGAGUAAGUAACCAACAGGACAUCACAUGCGGCGUUCAGCCCAGAGGAUCCUGCGAUCUGCACAGCAGAGUAAGUAAUCAACAGGACAUCACAUGCGGCGUUCAGCCCAGAGGAUCCUGCGAUCUGCACCGCAGAGUAAGUAACCAACAGUAAGUAUGUGUUCUAGAAUAAGUAAUGGGGCUUACGGCUGGGAGAUGCUUCGGUUGUAACCAGGAAAAGAAUAAUUCUUGUGUCCACCUCCUUUCAUAGGGACAUCACAUGCGGCGUUCAGCCCAGAGGAUCCUGCGAUCUGCACAGCAGAGUAAGUAAUCAACAGUAAGUAGGUGUUCUUGAAUAAGUAAUGGGGCUUACGGCUGGGAGAUGCUUCGGUCAGUGCCUGGGUGUGGAUUACGGUGACGGUGGUGGGCUCUCGGGGUGGUGAGCGUCCGGCAUUAACUCUACAUAUCUUCCCCACACUCUGUAACUUCAC
Molecule: long non-coding RNA, 832 nt
Organism: Cyprinus carpio carpio
Lineage: Eukaryota; Metazoa; Chordata; Actinopteri; Cypriniformes; Cyprinidae
Source: Ensembl